UACGGGGGGUGCGAGCGUUAAUCGGAAUAACUGGGCGUAAAGGGCACGCAGGCGGACUUUUAAGUGAGGUGUGAAAUCCCCGGGCUUAACCUGUGAAUGGCAUUUCAUACUGGGUGUCUAGAGUACGUUAGGGAGGGGUAGAAUUCCACGUGUAGCGGUGAAAUGCGUAGAGAUGUGGAGGAAUACCGGAGGCGAAGGCAGUCGGUUGGGAAGGUACUGACGCUCAUGUGCGAAAGCGUGGGGAGCAAACAGG
RNAcentral lists this ribosomal RNA (253 nucleotides) under uncultured bacterium. Its description in RNAcentral is "partial 16S ribosomal RNA". It matches the Rfam family "Bacterial small subunit ribosomal RNA", at positions 524 to 776 of the family's 1533-position model. The record is from RNAcentral.